RNAcentral lists this ribosomal RNA (482 nucleotides) under uncultured bacterium. Its description in RNAcentral is "partial 16S ribosomal RNA". It matches the Rfam family "Bacterial small subunit ribosomal RNA", at positions 30 to 507 of the family's 1533-position model. The record is from RNAcentral.
AUUGAACGCUGGCGGCAUGCUUUACACAUGCAAGUCGAACGGUAACAGGCCGCAAGGUGCUGACGAGUGGCGAACGGGUGAGUAAUGCAUCGGAACGUGCCCAGUCGUGGGGGAUAACUACUCGAAAGAGUAGCUAAUACCGCAUCCGAUCUAUGGUUGAAAGCGGGGGACCGUAAGGCCUCGCGCGAUUGGACCGGCCGAUGUCAGAUUAGGUAGUUGGUGGGGUAAAGGCUCACCAAGCCAACGAUCUGUACCUGGUCUGAGAGGACGACCAGCCACACUGGGACUGGGACACGGCCCAGACUCCUACGGGAGGCAGCAGUGGGGGAUUUUGGACAAUGGGCGCAAGCCUGAUCCAGCAAUGCCGCGUGCAGGAAGAAGGCCUUCGGGUUGUAAACUGCUUUUGUACGGAACGAAACGGCUCUGGUUAAUACCCGGGGCUAAUGACGGUACCGUAAGAAUAAGCACCGGCUAACUACGUG